AUGGUUGUGUAUCAGUAUUGCUUGGUAGAUCUCUUGGUUCGGGACCCAAGAGGCCGGAAGUUCAAAUCUUCUCACUCCGACCA
RNAcentral lists this transfer RNA (83 nucleotides) under Clostridiales bacterium GWC2_40_7. RNAcentral describes it as "tRNA-OTHER". The record is from RNAcentral. Lineage: Bacteria; Bacillati; Bacillota; Clostridia; Eubacteriales.